ACGGGUAUAACACAAUGGGUGUGUGAGUCUUCCAAACUUUCAAACUGGUUCGAGUCCAGUUAUCCGGA
Non-coding RNA from Sphaeroforma arctica JP610, 68 nucleotides. Lineage: Eukaryota; Ichthyosporea; Ichthyophonida. The record is from the annotation of a RefSeq genome assembly.